CUGCAAAACCCCACAAACCACCGCAGCUUGGUUGGGAUCUCGCCGUCUCUCACCCAUCCUGGACCUAGGACCUAGGACCAGGAUCCAGCUUCCGGUGGGUAGACCUCUCUUAGUCCAGAUAGCAUAGCAGGAACAAGCUCUUACAAGAGCUUAGUGAUUAUAGCAAUCCCCCAGAGUGUAGUUCUCCAAUCCCCCAAACAUGAGCCAAACUUCAUG
Non-coding RNA from Pelobates cultripes (western spadefoot toad), 216 nucleotides. The record is from the annotation of a GenBank genome assembly. Lineage: Eukaryota; Metazoa; Chordata; Amphibia; Anura; Pelobatidae.